This 102-nucleotide ribosomal RNA is filed under the name uncultured eukaryote. RNAcentral describes it as "partial small subunit ribosomal RNA". The record is from RNAcentral.
UCGCUACUACCGAUUGAAUGGCUUAGUGAGCUCUGUGCGCAUCGGGGGCAACUCCGAAGCGUGAUGGGAAGCAGAUCAAACUUGAUCAUUUAGAGGAAGUAA